RNAcentral lists this ribosomal RNA (172 nucleotides) under uncultured bacterium. RNAcentral describes it as "partial 16S ribosomal RNA". It matches the Rfam family "Bacterial small subunit ribosomal RNA", at positions 338 to 524 of the family's 1533-position model. The record is from RNAcentral.
CCUACGGGAGGCAGCAGUGGGGAAUAUUGGGCAAUGGGCGAAAGCCUGACCCAGCAACGCCGCGUGAGUGAUGAAGGCCUUCGGGUUGUAAAACUCUUUGGACAGGGACGAAGAAAGUGACGGUACCUGUAGAACAAACCACGGCUAACUACGAGCCAGCAGCCGCGGUAAU